This 235-nucleotide ribosomal RNA is filed under the name Sporobolomyces roseus. RNAcentral describes it as "large subunit ribosomal RNA". It matches the Rfam family "Bacterial large subunit ribosomal RNA", at positions 842 to 1031 of the family's 2925-position model. Lineage: Eukaryota; Fungi; Basidiomycota; Microbotryomycetes; Sporidiobolales; Sporidiobolaceae. The record is from RNAcentral.
GUGAUAGCUGGUUCUCUGCGAAAUGCAUUGCAGUGCAGCGUCAAUAUAGAGCUUAUAGUAGGUACAGCACUGAUUGACAUGCCCGCUAUUUCUAUUUAACGAUAGAACAUAAACGGCCGACUAGGGGGGUGUGAAAGCCCUAUCUAGGUCAGUUAACCUCGGAAUGAUUAUAAGUAUUCAUUGGCAGUGAGUCGUAGGGUGAUAAGGUCUUAUGACGAGAGGGAAACAGCCCAAA